UACGGAGGGUGCGAGCGUUAAUCGGAAUUACUGGGCGUAAAGGGUGCGUAGGUGGUAUGGUAAGUUAUCUGUGAAAUUCCUGGGCUUAACCUGGGACGGUCAGAUGAUACUGCUGUACUCGAGUAUGGGAGAGGGUAGUGGAAUUUCCGGUGUAGCGGUGAAAUGCGUAGAGAUCGGAAGGAACACCAGUGGCGAAGGCGGCUACCUGGCCCAAUACUGACACUGAGGCACGAAAGCGUGGGGAGCUAACAGG
RNAcentral lists this ribosomal RNA (253 nucleotides) under uncultured bacterium. RNAcentral's name for it is "partial 16S ribosomal RNA". It matches the Rfam family "Bacterial small subunit ribosomal RNA", at positions 524 to 776 of the family's 1533-position model. The record is from RNAcentral.